RNAcentral lists this ribosomal RNA (253 nucleotides) under uncultured bacterium. RNAcentral's name for it is "partial 16S ribosomal RNA". It matches the Rfam family "Bacterial small subunit ribosomal RNA", at positions 97 to 353 of the family's 1533-position model. The record is from RNAcentral.
GGCGGACGGGUGAGUAAUGUCUGGGAAACUGCCUGAUGAGGGGGAUAACUACUGGAAACGGUAGCUAAUACCGCAUAACGUCGCAAGACCAAAGAGGGGGACCUUCGGGCCUCUUGCCAUCGGAUGUGCCCAGAUGGAUUAGCUAGUAGGUGGGGUAACGGCUCACCUAGGCGACGAUCCCUAGCUGGUCUGAGAGGAUGACCAGCCACACUGGAACUGAGACACGGUCCAGACUCCUACGGGAGGCAGCAUG